Long non-coding RNA from Coccinella septempunctata (seven-spotted ladybird), 300 nucleotides. RefSeq lists it as uncharacterized. The record is from RefSeq and is a predicted model, not a curated record. The transcript has 2 exons. NCBI's taxonomy places the organism in Eukaryota, Metazoa, Arthropoda, Insecta, Coleoptera, Coccinellidae.
CAAGCAGAGAUUUUUGUUUCACUUAAAUUUCUUAAAAAAAUGGUACCUACCCGUUAUGAAAUGUCUGCUACAUACUCCUUGGUUCCUAAUAAUUGAUUCAGUUAGAUCUUCUCUCUUGAGCUGCUAACCACAUAUCCCUUCUUCGUUAAUAUGUAGGUAAUGCACAGAUUUUGUCACAGUAGGUAUACGAAAAAAUCCUUAUGGUACCGAUCUGCACGACUUCCACAAUUAACCAUAAUACUUGUUACAGGCAUUUUUCUUUCGGAAUAAAACUUAGUUCUCACUAUUCACUAUAUAUAU